This 300-nucleotide signal recognition particle RNA is filed under the name Callithrix jacchus (white-tufted-ear marmoset). RNAcentral's name for it is "Metazoan signal recognition particle RNA (ENSCJAG00000072896.1)". It matches the Rfam family "Metazoan signal recognition particle RNA". From Rfam's summary of the family: The signal recognition particle (SRP) is a universally conserved ribonucleoprotein. It is involved in the co-translational targeting of proteins to membranes. The record is from Rfam by way of RNAcentral. Lineage: Eukaryota; Metazoa; Chordata; Mammalia; Primates; Cebidae.
GCCAGGCAUGGUGGCUCAUGCCUGUAGUCCCAGCUACUCGGGAGGCUGAGGUGGGAGGAUUGCUUGAGCCCAGGAGUUCUGGGCUGUAGUGCUCUAUGCCAGUCUGGUGUCUGCACUAAGUUCAGCAUCAAUAUGGUGACCUCCCAGGAGUAGGGAACCACCAGGUUGCCUAAGGAGGGGUGAACUGGCCCAGGUCAGAAACAGAGCAGGUCAGAACUCCUGUGCUGAUCAGUAGUGGGAUCGCGCCUGGGAACACCCACUGCACUUCAGCCUGGGCCACAUAGCGAGACCCCCAUCUCU